CCCUAGUAACUGCGAGUGAAGCGGGAAGAGCUCAAAUUUGAAAUCUGGCGGCUCCGUCGUCCGAGUUGUAACCUGGAGAAGCGUUUUCCGUGCCGGACCGUGUACAAGUCCCUUGGAACAGGGCGUCGUAGAGGGUGAGAAUCCCGUCUUUGACACGGACUCCCGGUGCUCUGUGAUGCGCUCUCGAAGAGUCGAGUUGUUUGGGAAUGCAGCUCAAAAUGGGUGGUAAAUUCCAUCUAAAGCUAAAUAUUGGCGAGAGACCGAUAGCGAACAAGUACCGUGAGGGAAAGAUGAAAAGCACUUUGGAAAGAGAGUAAAACAGUACGUGAAAUUGUUGAAAGGGAAACGCUUGAAGUCAGUCGCGUCUGCCGGGACUCAGCUCCGCUCCGCGGGGUGCACUUCCCGGCCGACGGGUCAGCAUCGGUUUUGGGGGACGGACAAAGGCGGGAGGAAGGUGGCAGCUCCGGCUGUGUUAUAGCCUCCCGUUGUACGCGCCCUCCGGGACCGAGGAAUCCGGCGCUCGCCGCCUGGGAUGCUGGCGUAAUGGCUUUAAGCGACCCGUCUUGAAACACGGACCAAGGAGUGCUACACGCUCGCGAGUGUUUGGGUGGAAAACCCGGACGCGAAAUGAAAGUGAAAGUCGAGACCCUUUGCGGGGGCACCGACGCCCGAGCCUGACGUUUUCUGAAGGCCUUGCGGUAGAGCGAGCGCGUUGCGACCCGAAAGAUGGUGAACUAUUCCUGAGGAGGGCGAAGCCAGAGGAAACUCUGGUGGAGGCUCGUAGCGGUUCUGACGUGCAAAUCGAUCGCAGGACUUGGG
Molecule: ribosomal RNA, 819 nt
Filed under: Fibrodontia alba
Lineage: Eukaryota; Fungi; Basidiomycota; Agaricomycetes; Trechisporales; Hydnodontaceae
Description: partial large subunit ribosomal RNA
Rfam family: Eukaryotic large subunit ribosomal RNA
Source: RNAcentral